RNAcentral lists this small RNA (131 nucleotides) under Klebsiella grimontii. RNAcentral describes it as "RtT sRNA". It matches the Rfam family "RtT RNA". From Rfam's summary of the family: This family represents a bacterial cis-regulatory element known as RtT RNA. The exact function of RtT is unknown although it is thought that it may be involved in changing the cellular response in relation to amino acid starvation. Lineage: Bacteria; Pseudomonadati; Pseudomonadota; Gammaproteobacteria; Enterobacterales; Enterobacteriaceae. RNAcentral also lists the same sequence under 1 other name. The record is from RNAcentral.
UAUUCAUCCCAUGUGGGAAGGAUGAGAAGCUUCGACUAAGGUUCGAUUCGAGCGAAGCGAGAAAGCGUUGCCGCAGGCAACGACCCGAAGGGCGAGGCGCAGCGCGACGAGUAAUCCUUCCCCCGCCACCA